GCUUAAAACAAACAAAACACUUGAGGACCUGGUUAGUACUCCAAUGGGAGACUACCUGGGAAUACCAGGUGUUGUAAGCA
This 80-nucleotide ribosomal RNA is filed under the name Mesocricetus auratus (golden hamster). Lineage: Eukaryota; Metazoa; Chordata; Mammalia; Rodentia; Cricetidae. The record is from RNAcentral.